UCUGGCUCUCAGCCCUCUUAUAGGGCCAGCUGUGGCCUGAUUGGGGCGUGGCCCCACCUGUGGCUGAUUCCCCCAAUCAGCCUGGCUUUUCCCUGCUGCAGCUUCUCCAGGGCUGAUUUAACCCCCUCGGGGCAGGGGUGAGGUGACUACCACACUAGUCAUUUAUAGCACAAACUCUCUAUGGCCUGAGCAGUGCAGGAUAAUGUAAUCUCUGUCAGUGGGUUUGCAUUGUUUCCUUUUCUUGUCCUUUACUUUGUCAGAAGAUAUUCAUUGGGGGGUCAUAAAUGUUUCUGAGUUUGUAAAAGCUUGUGUGUGGCAUGGAGUCAGGGAUAGGUGAACAAAACCAUUUUCCUUUCAGCUCUAGUUAUUUCACACAUGUGUGUGUGAAUAGUGUUGCAGUCAAUGGGAUGGAAGUGCCAGGAAUAUCAGGUUUAUCUCCUCCUUUUACUGAGGCUACAAGGAUUACAGCAGUUCAGUUAAGUGGAACAAGAUGAAGAUGCUGCCUGUUUCGUCUGUACCUUGAUCUUCCUCAACCAUGCAAAAUCUCAAAUUACAGCUACAUCCACUGAAAACUGCUGGUGAUAUCCGGUAUUUUUCCUUGUCCAGUUUUACCAGGACUGGGUCUCCUGCUGUUCUUCUCGUGAAAGUUUUGGUCUGUGUUCUGACAGCUAAGUAGCCUGGAGACUUAGAGCAGACAUAUAAGAGGACCACUUCAGAUGAGAUUUACCUUUAUGGCUGGCGGCAUUAUUUGAUCUGUCAACUCCUAAGCAGCUGAACUAAACUUACUCUGGUGACCAGUGUGCCCAGAAUAUUCCUAACUCUUAAAAUUGCUCAUUUGACCUAUGCUGUCUCUGUUGCUGACUACCAUUAUUUCCUGUCUCCUGCAUUAAAGAAACUCAUGGGUGCUGAAUAAGAGGUGCUUAAACACAGUGAUUAAGGUGGAUAUUUUCAAUUCUACUUGGAGUUUUCACAGUGCGAUUUUCAGUAGUGUAAAGAGCUGUAUGCGGAAAGGUCUAUAAAUAAUGUUGAUAUUCAUAUAUUUUAAGUUCAGGAAGAACCAUUAGAUCAUCUAAUCUGACCUCCUGCAUCAUAGGUCAUUCUCUUUCACUGAGUUACCCCUGUAUUGAUCCCAAUAACUUUGACUAAAGCAUACCUGCCAGAAAGCAUCCAGACUUGAUCUGAAGAAAUCAAGAGAGAGAGAGAAUUCAUCUCUUCCCUUGCUAGUUUGUUCUAAUGGUUUAUCACCCUCAUUAUUAAAAAUGUGUGCCUUAUUUUGAAUUUGUCUGGCUUCAGCUUCCAGCCACUGGUUCCUAUUAUGCCUUUCUCUGCUACAUUAAAAGCCCCUGUUAAUGCAUGGUAUUUUCUCCCCAUUAAGGUACUUAGACACUGUAAUCAAGUGAUCUCUCAAACUUCUUUUUGAUAAGCUAAACAAUUUUAAAUAUCCCACUGUAAGGCAUUUACUCUAGUAAUUGAAUCAUUUUUGUGGUUUUUCUG
This 1494-nucleotide long non-coding RNA is filed under the name Chrysemys picta bellii (western painted turtle). RNAcentral describes it as "lncRNA (ENSCPBG00000018104.1)". Lineage: Eukaryota; Metazoa; Chordata; Testudines; Emydidae. The record is from RNAcentral.